UCAAGCAGAAAGGGCACAGGGCGGAUGCCUUGGCACUAAGGGCCGAAGAAAGACGUGAUAAGCUGCGAUAAGCUUCGGGGAGGAGCAAAUAUCCAUUGAUCCGGAGAUCUCUGAAUGGGGAAACCCACAUGAGCAAACCUCAUGUAUCCAUACGCCAAUCCAUAACGUAUGGAGGGGAACCCGGGGAACUGAAACAUCUAAGUACCCGGAGGAAAAGAAAGAAAACUCGAUUCCGUAAGUAGCGGCGAGCGAACGCGGAAGAGCCUAAACCAGGUCGCGUGCGAUCUGGGGUUACGGACUGCAUUUAAGAUUCUGUGAUGUUAGUAGAACGGUUUUGGGAAAGCCGGCCGGAGAGGGUGAAAGCCCCGUACACGAAAACAGAGCAGACUGAGCAGGAUCCAGAGUACCGCGGGACACGAGAAACCCUGCGGGAAGUCAGGGGGACCACCCCCUAAGGCUAAAUACCACUUAGUGACCGAUAGCGCAUAGUACUGUGAAGGAAAGGUGAAAAGGACCCCGGGAGGGGAGUGAAAGAGAACCUGAAACCCUGUGUCUACAAGCUGUGGGAGUGCCCUAUGAGCACGACCGCGUACUUUUUGUAGAACGGUCCGGCGAGUUGCGCACACUGGCAAGGUUAAGGACUCAAGGUCCGGAGCCGUAGGGAAACCAAGUCUUAAGAGGGCCAGAGUCAGUGUGGGCAGACCCGAAACCGGGUGAUCUAUCCAUGUCCAGGUUGAAGCUGCCGUAAGAGGCAGUGGAGGACCGAACCCACAUCCGUUGAAAAGGGUGGGGAUGAGGUGUGGAUAGGGGAGAAAUUCCAAUCGAACCCGGAGAUAGCUGGUUCUCCUCGAAAUAGCUUUAGGGCUAGCCUUGGUAGAGAUUUGCGGAGGUAGAGCACUGAAUUUCCUAGGGGGCGUCAAAGCCUACCGAAGAAUAUCAAACUCCGAAUGCCGCGUAAUUGCUUACCGGGAGUCAGACUGCACGAGAUAAGUUGGGCAGUCAAAAGGGAAAGAGCCCAGACCUUCAGUUAAGGUCCCAAAGUGUACGUUAAGUGGAAAAGGAUGUGGGAUUUCGAAGACAACCAGGAUGUUGGCUCAGAAGCAGCCAUUCAUUCAAAGAGUGCGUAAUAGCUCACUGGUCGAGAGGUCCUGCGCCGAAAAUGUCCGGGGCUGAAACGUACCACCGAAACUAAGGAAUCCGAAAGGAUUGGUAGAGGAGCAUUGCAUGCGGGAAGAAGCAGUACCGUAAGGAGCUGUGGACUGCAUGGAAGAGAGAAUGCCGGAAUGAGUAGCGAGAUAGAGGUGAGAAUCCUCUAGGCCGAAUAUCCAAGGUUUCCAGGGUAAAGCUGAUCUGCCCUGGGUAAGUCGGGGCCUAAGGUGAGGACGAGAGUCGUAGCCGAUGGACAACAGGUGGAGAUUCCUGUACUAUGAUAUGACAGAACUGUGGGGACACGUGCAGAGAGCGGAAGCCGGGAACGGUAUCCCGGUGCAAGCGAGGUACCAGAUGCGUUGGAAAAACCGCGCAUCAAUGGGAAGACGUGAUGCGGAAUGAAGUUUAGUAAUGAAGUCCGUGAGCUGUGCGUCAAGAAAAGCCGCUAUUGUUCAUACCAUACCCGUACCGUAAACCGACACAGGUGGAUGAGGAGAGAAUCCUAAGGCCGGCGGAAGAAGCAUUGUCAAGGAACUCGGCAAAAUGACCCCGUAACUUCGGGAGAAGGGGUGCCACUGAGAAGUGGCCGCAGAGAAUAGGCUCAAGCAACUGUUUAGCAAAAACACAGGUCUAUGCGAAACCGUAAGGUGAGGUAUAUGGGCUGACGCCUGCCCGGUGCUGGAAGGUUAAGAGGAGAGGUUAGCGCAAGCGAAGCUUUGAAUUUAAGCCCCAGUAAACGGCGGCCGUAACUAUAACGGUCCUAAGGUAGCGAAAUUCCUUGUCGGGUAAGUUCCGACCCGCACGAAAGGCGUAAUGAUUUGAGCGCUGUCUCGACAAUGCAUCCGGUGAAAUUGAAGUACCAGUGAAGAUGCUGGUUAC
This 2028-nucleotide ribosomal RNA is filed under the name human gut metagenome. Its description in RNAcentral is "bacterial LSU rRNA". It matches the Rfam family "Bacterial large subunit ribosomal RNA", at positions 1 to 2069 of the family's 2925-position model. The record is from RNAcentral.